This 1850-nucleotide ribosomal RNA is filed under the name Escherichia coli. RNAcentral describes it as "partial 23S ribosomal RNA". It matches the Rfam family "Bacterial large subunit ribosomal RNA", at positions 964 to 2798 of the family's 2925-position model. The record is from RNAcentral. Lineage: Bacteria; Pseudomonadati; Pseudomonadota; Gammaproteobacteria; Enterobacterales; Enterobacteriaceae.
GGAGAAUGUUAUCACGGGAGACACACGGCGGGUGCUAACGUCCGUCGUGAAGAGGGAAACAACCCAGACCGCCAGCUAAGGUCCCAAAGUCAUGGUUAAGUGGGAAACGAUGUGGGAAGGCCCAGACAGCCAGGAUGUUGGCUUAGAAGCAGCCAUCAUUUAAAGAAAGCGUAAUAGCUCACUGGUCGAGUCGGCCUGCGCGGAAGAUGUAACGGGGCUAAACCAUGCACCGAAGCUGCGGCAGCGACGCUUAUGCGUUGUUGGGUAGGGGAGCGUUCUGUAAGCCUGUGAAGGUGUGCUGUGAGGCAUGCUGGAGGUAUCAGAAGUGCGAAUGCUGACAUAAGUAACGAUAAAGCGGGUGAAAAGCCCGCUCGCCGGAAGACCAAGGGUUCCUGUCCAACGUUAAUCGGGGCAGGGUGAGUCGACCCCUAAGGCGAGGCCGAAAGGCGUAGUCGAUGGGAAACAGGUUAAUAUUCCUGUACUUGGUGUUACUGCGAAGGGGGGACGGAGAAGGCUAUGUUGGCCGGGCGACGGUUGUCCCGGUUUAAGCGUGUAGGCUGGUUUUCCAGGCAAAUCCGGAAAAUCAAGGCUGAGGCGUGAUGACGAGGCACUACGGUGCUGAAGCAACAAAUGCCCUGCUUCCAGGAAAAGCCUCUAAGCAUCAGGUAACAUCAAAUCGUACCCCAAACCGACACAGGUGGUCAGGUAGAGAAUACCAAGGCGCUUGAGAGAACUCGGGUGAAGGAACUAGGCAAAAUGGUGCCGUAACUUCGGGAGAAGGCACGCUGAUAUGUAGGUGAAGUCCCUCGCGGAUGGAGCUGAAAUCAGUCGAAGAUACCAGCUGGCUGCAACUGUUUAUUAAAAACACAGCACUGUGCAAACACGAAAGUGGACGUAUACGGUGUGACGCCUGCCCGGUGCCGGAAGGUUAAUUGAUGGGGUCAGCGCAAGCGAAGCUCUUGAUCGAAGCCCCGGUAAACGGCGGCCGUAACUAUAACGGUCCUAAGGUAGCGAAAUUCCUUGUCGGGUAAGUUCCGACCUGCACGAAUGGCGUAAUGAUGGCCAGGCUGUCUCCACCCGAGACUCAGUGAAAUUGAACUCGCUGUGAAGAUGCAGUGUACCCGCGGCAAGACGGAAAGACCCCGUGAACCUUUACUAUAGCUUGACACUGAACAUUGAGCCUUGAUGUGUAGGAUAGGUGGGAGGCUUAGAAGUGUGGACGCCAGUCUGCAUGGAGCCGACCUUGAAAUACCACCCUUUAAUGUUUGAUGUUCUAACGUUGACCCGUAAUCCGGGUUGCGGACAGUGUCUGGUGGGUAGUUUGACUGGGGCGGUCUCCUCCUAAAGAGUAACGGAGGAGCACGAAGGUUGGCUAAUCCUGGUCGGACAUCAGGAGGUUAGUGCAAUGGCAUAAGCCAGCUUGACUGCGAGCGUGACGGCGCGAGCAGGUGCGAAAGCAGGUCAUAGUGAUCCGGUGGUUCUGAAUGGAAGGGCCAUCGCUCAACGGAUAAAAGGUACUCCGGGGAUAACAGGCUGAUACCGCCCAAGAGUUCAUAUCGACGGCGGUGUUUGGCACCUCGAUGUCGGCUCAUCACAUCCUGGGGCUGAAGUAGGUCCCAAGGGUAUGGCUGUUCGCCAUUUAAAGUGGUACGCGAGCUGGGUUUAGAACGUCGUGAGACAGUUCGGUCCCUAUCUGCCGUGGGCGCUGGAGAACUGAGGGGGGCUGCUCCUAGUACGAGAGGACCGGAGUGGACGCAUCACUGGUGUUCGGGUUGUCAUGCCAAUGGCACUGCCCGGUAGCUAAAUGCGGAAGAGAUAAGUGCUGAAAGCAUCUAAGCACGAAACUUGCC